GGGUUGUGAGGUUAAGCGACUAAGCGUACACGGUGGAUGCCCUGGCAGUCAGAGGCGAUGAAGGACGUGCUAAUCUGCGAAAAGCGUCGGUAAGGUGAUAUGAACCGUUACAGCCGGCGAUGUCCGAAUGGGGAAACCCAGUGCAAUUCGUUGCACUAUCGUUAACUGAAUACAUAGGUUAACGAGGC
Molecule: ribosomal RNA, 188 nt
Filed under: Klebsiella pneumoniae
Lineage: Bacteria; Pseudomonadati; Pseudomonadota; Gammaproteobacteria; Enterobacterales; Enterobacteriaceae
Description: partial 23S ribosomal RNA
Rfam family: Bacterial large subunit ribosomal RNA
Source: RNAcentral